UACUAGCCCAAUGCUCUUCCAACUGAGCUACGCGGUCAGGUCAGGUCCUGACCGCAUAGCUCAGUUGGAAGAGCAUUGGGCUAGUA
This is a non-coding RNA of Paramuricea clavata, 86 nucleotides long. Lineage: Eukaryota; Metazoa; Cnidaria; Anthozoa; Malacalcyonacea; Plexauridae. The record is from the annotation of a GenBank genome assembly.